GACGAACGCUGGCGGUGUGCUUAACACAUGCAAGUCGAACGGAAAGGCCCUGCUUUUGUGGGGUGCUCGAGUGGCGAACGGGUGAGUAACACGUGAGUAGCCUGCCCUUGACUUUGGGAUAACUUCAGGAAACUGGGGCUAAUACCGGAUAGGAGCUCCUGCCGCAUGGUGGGGGUUGGAAAGUUUCGGCGGUUGGGGCUGGACUCGCGGCUUAUCAGCUUGUUGGUGGGGUAGUGGAUUACCAAGGUUUUGACGGGUAGCCGGCCUGAGAGGGUGACCGGCCACAUGGAGAAGGUGAUACGGCCCGGACUCCUAGAGGAGGCAACAGAGGAGAAUGAUACAGAAUGAGCGGAUGCCUGAUGCAGAAGCGCCGCGUGGGGGAUGACGGCCUGCGGGUUGUGAACCGCUUUCGCCUGUGACGGAGCGUGAGUGACGGUAAUGAGUAAAGAAGCACCGGCUAACUACGUG
RNAcentral lists this ribosomal RNA (468 nucleotides) under uncultured bacterium. RNAcentral's name for it is "partial 16S ribosomal RNA". It matches the Rfam family "Bacterial small subunit ribosomal RNA", at positions 28 to 507 of the family's 1533-position model. The record is from RNAcentral.